AUACGGAGGAUCCGAGCGUUAUCCGGAUUUAUUGGGUUUAAAGGGUGCGCAGGCGGGAGAUUAAGUCGGCGGUGAAAUUUUGCAGCUCAACUGUAAAAGUGCCUUCGAAACUGGUUUCCUUGAGUGUAGAUGAAGUAGGCGGAAUUCGGGGUGUAGCGGUAAAUGCAUAGAUAUCACGAGGAAAUCCGAUUGCGCAGGCAGCUUACUAAACUACUACUGACGCUCAGGCACGAAGGCGUGGGGAUCAAACAGGAUUAGAUACCCUGGUAGGCCACGCAGUAAACGAUGAUUACUAGCUGUUUGCGAUACAAUGUAAGCGGCUGAGCGAAAGCGUUAAGUAAUCCACCUGGGAAGUACGUUCGCAAGAAUGAAACUCAAAGGAAUUGACGGGG
This 392-nucleotide ribosomal RNA is filed under the name uncultured bacterium. Its description in RNAcentral is "partial 16S ribosomal RNA". It matches the Rfam family "Bacterial small subunit ribosomal RNA", at positions 523 to 918 of the family's 1533-position model. The record is from RNAcentral.